GUGCUCACUUCGGCAGCACACAGAGUAAAACCGGACCAAUAUAGAGAAGAUUAGCUUGUUUCCUUCUCAAGGAUGGCAAGCACAUUCAUGAAGCCGUCCAGAUUUUU
Molecule: small nuclear RNA, 107 nt
Organism: Peromyscus eremicus (cactus mouse)
Lineage: Eukaryota; Metazoa; Chordata; Mammalia; Rodentia; Cricetidae
Source: RefSeq, a predicted model, not a curated record